RNAcentral lists this ribosomal RNA (258 nucleotides) under uncultured bacterium. RNAcentral's name for it is "partial 16S ribosomal RNA". It matches the Rfam family "Bacterial small subunit ribosomal RNA", at positions 524 to 776 of the family's 1533-position model. The record is from RNAcentral.
UACGUAGGGUGCAAGCGUUGUCCGGAAUUAUUGGGCGUAAAGAGCUCGUAGGCGGUUUGUCGCGUCGGCUGUGAAAAACUCGGGGGCUCAACCCCCGAGCCUGCAGUCGAUACGGGCAGACUAGAGUGCUGUAGGGGAGACUGGAAUUCCUGGUGUAGCGGUGAAAUGCGUAGAGAUCGGGAGGAACACCUGUGGCGAAGGCGGCCCCCCUGGGCCGGCCCCUGACACUGAGACGCGAAGGCGUGGGGAGCGAACGGG